AUGAAAUUAAAUCUUUAUGUACUGACUCCUAAGCGAAUUAUUUGGGAUUGUGAGGUGAAAGAAAUCAUUUUAUCCACAAAUAGUGGCCAAAUUGGCGUAUUACCAAACCACGCCCCCAAAGUCCUCCCAUGCAAGGGCAAGGACCUCACACCAAGAUAUGCCCCCACUUCCACCCACGAGACUAGUUAUGAUGUUUUUCCCAACUGGGACGUCGAAGAAUAG
RNAcentral lists this ribosomal RNA (222 nucleotides) under Triticum aestivum (bread wheat). Its description in RNAcentral is "partial small subunit ribosomal RNA". Lineage: Eukaryota; Viridiplantae; Streptophyta; Magnoliopsida; Poales; Poaceae. The record is from RNAcentral.